AUUGAACGCUAGCGGGAUGCCUUACACAUGCAAGUCGAACGGAGUAGCGAACGGGUGAGGAAUAUAUCGGAACGUGCCCCGGAGCGGGGGAUAACUACGAGAAAGCGUAGCUAAUACCGCAUACUAUUGGAGCGGCCGAUAUCGGAUUAGCUAGUUGGUGGGGUAACGGCUCACCAAGGCGACGAUCCGUAGCUGGUUUGGGAGGAAGACCAGCCACACUGGGACUGAGACACGGCCCAGACUCCUACGGGAGGCAGCAGUGGGGAAUAUUGGACAAUGGGGGAAACCCGGAUGCAGCCAUCCCGCGUGUGCGAUGAAGGCCUUCGGGUUGUAAAGUACUUUUGGCAGGAAAGCGGUACCUGCAGAAGAAGCACCGGCUAACUACGUGCCAGCAGCCGCGGUAAUAC
This 407-nucleotide ribosomal RNA is filed under the name uncultured bacterium. Its description in RNAcentral is "partial 16S ribosomal RNA". It matches the Rfam family "Bacterial small subunit ribosomal RNA", at positions 30 to 526 of the family's 1533-position model. The record is from RNAcentral.